Molecule: long non-coding RNA, 6039 nt
Filed under: Mytilus galloprovincialis (Mediterranean mussel)
Lineage: Eukaryota; Metazoa; Mollusca; Bivalvia; Mytilida; Mytilidae
Source: RNAcentral
AAAUGGGCGACUGAUUAAUUUCUAAUGCAGAAAUUUAAAAAAAAAAAAGGAAAUAUGGAGAUUUUGUGGAAUAUGUAACCCGACUUUUAAAGAUAUUCCGGAUAUAUAUUUGGAACAGUUAACGGGCAUGAUAGGAGUGAAUACGGUAAAAUCGUUUGUUUGUGUAUGAACUAUUUCUAACGUAGUACCAAAUUGUUAAUUGACAAAUAGAGUGAUACUCGGUACUUUUCUAUUACCUUUUAUGAUAAAGGGUUUUGUACGAUAUUCGUAUACCUAUCCUACAUUGAUUCCCUUUUAAGGGCAUGUAAAAGUAGUUGAUAGAACCCCUGAUUGUUUUUACAAAAUAGCACUAUCACAAAUAUUGAAAGUGCAUGUUUGAUUGUUUCAAAGAGAUUCAGAUUAGGUUUUGUUUAAAUAAAGCAUGGUCUUAUUAAUAAGCUCGGGAUCACAUAAUAUUUUUUGAUAUAUCUGCAGUUGCGUAUUAGAGGAUGGUCAUUUAGAGACGUUUCAAUCGUAUCAUAUACGUUGACGUAUCCGCAUCUGCAAAACAGUUUUUGUUCCCCAGCUUUAAUGUUAUGUAAUUUCAAUAAUGCAAAAAGACAACUGAUUAAUUUCUAAUGCCAAAAAUAACAAACAAUUAGGAAAUAUCGAGGAACAUGUAAUUUGACUUUUGAAAAUAUUCUGGAUAUUUUUAUCAGUUUACAGACAUGAAUACGGUAAAAUCGUUUGUUUGUGUAUUAGUUUGUGCUCACUUAGAACCAAAUUGUUAAUUGACCAAUAGAGUGAUACUCAGUACAUUUUUUAAAUGUAUUUACAUGACAUCUGAAGACAACUCGUGUUUCUAUUACCUUUUACGAUAAAACUGCAAAUGAACAAUAUUCAAAGUUCCUUACAUGUAUAUAUAAGUACAUUGUAGUACAUUUGAUUUUUUUUUUUUGUGUUUAUUCAUGCAAGAUCUUGAAAUAUUGUUUAACUAGAUUAUUAAAGGAUUGUGUAUGCUAUUCGUGUACCCGCCCUACAUUUGCCACCUUUUAAUGGUAUGUAAAAGUAGUUGAUAGACCCAGUGGCGAAUCCAGAAAUAAGAGGGGGCCCACUGACUGCCUAAGAGGGGGCCCAUUCCAGUCAUGCUACAGUGAUUCCCUAUAAGUGAGAUUUAUUAAAACGACAAAAAUUAUUAUAUAAGAUACUCAAACGUUUGUUUGUUUGUGUGGAAUUGAAUUGUAAUGAUGCAAAUAUUGUAGUCAUUUUAAUGGAAAUUAUGAACUAUCGUUUGAUAUACAUCCGUUUUGUUCAUCAGAAUGCAUUGUUUUUUUUAAAUGUUAUGUAUAAGCAUGAUAAGAGUACAUAUUGUUACUAACACAGGUACAGAAAUGAUAACUUAAAAAAAACCAAAGAAAGUAAGUAAGAAUAAAUCUAUUUAUUUUACUAUAAUUCUUAUUACUUGUAAGAAGGAUUCAGUUUUUUCGAGUUACCGGAAUUGAUCAGUUUAUGAUAAAGAGAUUCAAAGAAUUCCAUUAAAUCCGUCAAAUAUUAUGGCGUCAUAAUCAGUAAUCGUAUUCAGCUGUAAUCGAUUAUAUUUUGCAGUGUAAUCGUAUAAAAUCAGUAAUCAUGCCAUUUCUGAUUACAAGUAGUAGUAAUGUAAGGAAUUACAUUACAAAAAACAAGUGUUUUCAUGAUUACUUUUAGAUUACAUCAACAUGAUAACUUGCUGACUACAAAUCUUUGAAAAAAGUUUCUGAUAGACAAUAAGAAAAUAAGAAAAUGUAAAGCACAAAUAAAAAAUCAUUGAGCUAGUAUUCUCUAUGAUGGGACUCUGUUUAAUGUGAUAAAUUGUAUCACCUAUAUAUAUAACAAGUUUUUAAACCAAGCGUUCUAUUUAGUUAACAGUUAGAUCUUUUAUAUAAAGAGAGGUUACUUGUUUAUAGCAAUGAUAUCAAAUAAAACAUGUUACACUGUUCCGGUCUAAAAAAAACAUAUGACUUUACAAAAAAUCACCAAAAUUAGCUCUUUUGUGUGGAUAAAAAGUUAUAAGAAAUCGAUAUUUCAAUAUACAAAGUAAAGAUAAGUGAUCCAAAGAAACCAUAAUUACUUUAAAGAAAAGUGAUAUAAAGUAAUCAAAUACAUUUGAAAUAAGGUGUACUUGUACUGUAAUCGAUUACAUUUUAUUGCAAAGUAAUUGUAAUUCAAUCAAUUACAUUUUAAAGUAAUUGACGUCAUCCCUGCUUUAGAGCUGUCAAUCAUUCUCAGAUUGAUACACUAUUGCUUCUUGGUACACUUAUAGUCACUAAGACAGUGUUAAUAUGAUCAUCUUAAAGGCUAUAUGUAUGUGAUAUGCCUUUUGAAAUGGAUGUUAUGAUGUUAUGCAAAGCCCUUAUGCAAUAUAUAACUUUGAGGGAAAAACAAUUUACAAAAGAGAAUAGUGCUCUAACAUUUUGGUAGUAAUAAACAGCUUCAGUUGAAAUCAGUUCUAACAUCUCUAAAAGUCUGCCAGGACCGUUAGAACUUCAUUUGUAUUAUACUUUAGUUCUCAUAACAACAGUAUAUCAAAGAAAGAGGUCUACCCGAGAAUGAAUUUAGAUGUGCAAAGCCUUAACAUGGUUCAAUGUACUAACAUAUGCAAUCGCAAUCUUUUAAAUUCUAUUUCAUCACAGUCCUUAUUCUAGUGGGUACUAAUUGUGAAUCACUACUGGCCAACUUGUUUUUCUACUCCUAUAAAGUAGAUUUCAAAGAAAUAAAACUAAAGUUUUAGAGAAGUCAGAACUGAUUAUAACUGUAGCUGUUUAUUACAACCAAUACUUCUGUCCUUUAGUAUAAGGUUUCGUAAUGCAAAGGCGAGGACAAAAAUGUGAGGUUAUAACUAUCAUCUAGGGUGAUAGUAGACAAGAAUCUAGGGUUACCUGAUUGCCCCUUUGUCAAGAUGGAUGUAACGCCAGGACCAGAGGUCCGUAAAAUAAAAAUUGAUGUAUGACAGUACAAAUUUGUGUUUAAGUGCUGUCCUAAUAGUAAUAUAUAAUUCUAGAACUUAAGGUCAUCCCUUUCUCUGCCAUAGAGUUAUUCCCUGAUUUUUAUAUUCAACAUAAGAACCUGAUGUAAUGAAACUAUUUAUAGACAUAAUUAAUACAUGUAGAAAGCCCGACGUCUUUCCAUCAUUUUGAAAUGAAGAUAUUACCUCUUUAUAUCAUGGGUGGUAUUGCAAGGAUCUGAAGUCUUUAAUUUUGUUAUAUGGCAUUGUACCAAAAUGACAUUUGUUUCCUUUUCCUAUGAUGGUAUCGUACAAGGGCAUAUGGUACCACAUAUGUGAUAGAUGAUGCAUACAAAAAAUCGUAGCCCCCUUUUAAAUUGAAUGAUGUCAAACAAGUACGUGAUGUACCACUGUAUGCAUGUGAAUGUAGUAGAAUAUAUCACAUAAACAGUAAGUGCACCCUUUACAAAGGGUAGAUUUUGACCCCCUCAUUCAAUAGCCUUAUUUAGCAUGUGUUACUCCCUAUAAAUAGGGUGAUAUUAGAUAUCGGAUUAAAAUAUAGCAUAACCUAUAACUGAUUUGACUAAUCUUUUUCAAAAUUUUAUAUUAGGGAAAAUUAAAAACACUUGACAAUAGCUGUGUGCACCGUUUGUAACAUUGAAAAACACAUCAGAGGCAUGAUUACCCAGAAGCAGUGGUAGGCUUUAACACUUCGGGGGCCACAUUAUCAUAGAGGAAGGAUGCUCAUGUAUAAUCUCGAAUUUGUUUUGUUAAGCUCACAAAUGAUAUCGAAGCUAGUUUAGAGAUUAGCGGGGAGUUAAAACAAAUGUCCAUUUAUUUUAGUCUUCAAAGUACAAGAAUACCAAGCGAUGUACCAACUCAUGAGUCGAAGAAUAAAUAACACUACAAAAAGACAACCAUCAGUCUACAAUAUACAAUAUAGAAAGGCAUGACAAACUCUUACCCAAACAAACAUGUACAGCGGCGGAAAAUUCUUUUUUGUCUUCGAUCAGCUGCGUACGUUCGACUCUUUGCAUGCUUUAUGAAAAACAAGUUCUUGACAUUUCCCGAUUUUCACAUUUGGCAUCAUUCCUUUUAAUGGUUUGUUCAAUCAUUGGUACUUACAUUUAUUUGCUCUUAAAGAAGAGUGUUUAAAGUACAGUUUCAUCUAGUGUGUUUCUGUAAAAAAAACAACUUCGAUGUCAGAUUUUUCCUCUUUGUGAAAAAGAUAACUAUCAAGUUUUAGUGGUUUUUAUAUGAUAUAACAUGUAUCUACACAAAUAUACGCGUGUGACAUGUAUGUGUCUAUUAAUAUGUGUGUGUUUUGAUAACUGAAUUACUUUAUUUUUAGUGAAAUGGAAAAGAAGAAAAGAGAUUUGGCUUCAGAUGAAUUUUUGGAAUGUUCAUAGCUGCACCAAUGAUACAACUAAUGAAUGUCUACCACCGGUCUCAAUUUAAGAGCUUAAUAAUGUCAAAGAAAUGCCUUUAAUUGAUACGUAAACAACAAAAAUGAAUUAUUCAGAUAACGACCUCGUCAACAUAACUAGUAACGGAAACGACCUGAGUGACACUUUGUUAACUAUAUUAUUUUUUGACACCAUUUUGUUGACUUUCUAUCUCUUAAUCGGUGUUUCAGUUAACGUUUGUGCUGUUUUUCUUCUCAGGAGAGCGGUUCGCAGGACAACUGACUUUCUCGGGGAAGAUAACGUGAGAUAUCAAACAUUUUUCGUAAUGAUUGAGUUAACAGCAUGUGUUAUAGGAACGUCGAGUUUUAUAGCAAUUAACACUAAUCCAGUUGAUUUUUACGGCGAAUCACUUUGUACACUAAUGUUAGGAAGUAACAUGUUGUUUGCAAACUUAUCUGGAUCAUCAAUCGUACAUUAUCAUAUAACGAGUUUUUUUCGAUAUAUGUUAGUUUUCAUAAGACACAAACAAAUGAUGAUAUUAAGGUACAGCGGUGUAGUAUUUGCCUUAUUUUUUUCAAUUCCGUCCUUCAUAUUCUACGGGGAAACCGAUAUAGACUUUGAAAUCCAGAACAUAACCGUUUCGGGAAAAAUUUGUGGGGUCUCGAGAAAAGCUGACAAUUAUUCAUUUGUUCAAGCAUACCCGAUCGUUGUAUUGACAAUUUAUAUUAUUGAGUUUUUAUUCAUUGUUUUUGUAAGUAUUUUGGUAAAAGAUAGGUUAUCAUCAGGUUUACCAUUAAGGACAAACAAAAAAACAAGAAUACAGCCAGGCUUUAAAUAUACUUCGACGUCAAAAAUAAGAGUCGUCAAUAGUGGAACAGUUGAUAACUCAAAACCUCCAGACAAUUCCAAAAUCAUUGACCUUUAUGCAGACAAAGAUUGUUCAGUCGUAGACUUGGAUGUGCUGACUUGCAGUUCUUGUAAUGAAACAAAACGGAAAACUUGUGACAGGUUAUUAGCAUCAAAUUAUGAUUUGAUAAUGGAUCAAAAAAUAUGCGUUUCUGAUAACACGAAAUCAAGUAAUCAGACUCCUGUCGAGCCUGAGUACAUGAAAAUUAAAACAACGAAAGAAUGUUGUAUAUCUUGUCAUAAAAAAAUCUGUUUUCGUAAAGCACCAUCUUUUUUCAGUGGAAUCAUUUUAUUUGCUACAUCGACACUACCAAGAGCUAUUAUAAUGAUUCUUGAAUCUAACGAUAAAAACUUUUGGAGCAAACUGAGCAAAACAGAGUACAUGUUAUACAACUUUCUCUAUCGAGUUUAUUUAUUACAAUGCGUAUUGCAUCCAUUUAUCUAUUAUUGGUAUGCUAUGAAAGGUCAAUUCAAAAGAGAAAUUCGAAGAUGCAGAUUGAGAAAUAUAGAUUCCACACUCCAAGAAGUACAUUACGAUAUUUCUACACUCGAGACAGUUCAAUUGUAAUAUUUAAAGGGCGAGGCUUGCCGAGAAAAUUUAAAAAGUAUUUAUUAUUACAAAUAUAAAACUUCAAUUUUAGGUUUAAGUUUAAUUAAUCUUGAUAACAUUAAAUUUACAGCGUUUAUUUCUUUUUUAAUUUACGCAAAUUAUUAUAUAUAUAAUUUAGAUAUCUGUUUCACAUUAGACAUGUUAGAUUUAUAACA